RNAcentral lists this non-coding RNA (26 nucleotides) under Homo sapiens (human). The record is from RNAcentral. Lineage: Eukaryota; Metazoa; Chordata; Mammalia; Primates; Hominidae.
UGGAAAUGACAUGCCAUCCCUUCUGC